Molecule: ribosomal RNA, 486 nt
Filed under: uncultured bacterium
Lineage: Bacteria
Description: partial 16S ribosomal RNA
Rfam family: Bacterial small subunit ribosomal RNA
Source: RNAcentral
AUUGAACGCUGGCGGCAUGCCUUACACAUGCAAGUCGAACGGCAGCACGGGUGCUUGCACCUGGUGGCGAGUGGCGAACGGGUGAGUAAUACAUCGGAACAUGUCCUGUAGUGGGGGAUAGCCCGGCGAAAGCCGGAUUAAUACCGCAUACGAUCUACGGAUGAAAGCGGGGGACCUUCGGUCCUCGCGCUAUAGGGUUGGCCGACGGCUGAUUAGCUAGGUGGUGGGGUAAAGGCCUACCAAAGCGACGACCAGUAGCUGGUCUGAGAGGACGACCAGCCACACUGGGACUGAGACACGGCCCAGACUCCUACGGGAGGCAGCAGUGGGGAAUUUUGGACAAUGGGCGAAAGCCUGAUCCAGCAAUGCCGCGUGUGUGAAGAAGGCCUUCGGGUUGUAAAGCACUUUUGUCCGGAAGGAAAUCCUUGGCCGUAAUACGGUCGGGGGAUGACGGUACCGGAAGAAUAAGCACCGGCUAACUACGUG